Molecule: ribosomal RNA, 468 nt
Filed under: uncultured bacterium
Lineage: Bacteria
Description: partial 16S ribosomal RNA
Rfam family: Bacterial small subunit ribosomal RNA
Source: RNAcentral
GACGAACGCUGGCGGCGUGCUUAACACAUGCAAGUCGAACGGAAAGGCCCUGCUUUUGUGGGGUGCUCGAGUGGCGAACGGGUGAGUAACACGUGAGUAACCUGCCCUUGACUUUGGGAUAACUUCAGGAAACUGGGGCUAAUACCGGAUAGGAGCUCCUGCUGCAUGGUGGGGGUUGGAAAGUUUCGGCGGUUGGGGAUGGACUCGCGGCUUAUCAGCUUGUUGGUGGGGUAGUGGCUUACCAAGGCUUUGACGGGUAGCCGGCCUGAGAGGGUGACCGGACACAUUGGAACUGAGAUACGGCCCAGACUCCUACGGGAGGCAGCAGUGGGGAAUAUUGCACCAUGGUCGGAAACCUGAUGCAGCAACUCCGCCUGCGAGAUGACGGCAUUCGGGUUGGAAACCGCUUUCGGCUGUGACGAAGCGUGAGUGACGGUAAUGGGUAAAGAAGCACCGGCUAACUACGUG